ACGCAAUGCCCGGGAAGCCUUACCACAGCCUCCAGACGCACGUCACACUACCGCUACCAGACCGCCGCUACCGGAGAGACGCAGUCAUCCGACCACCGACUGCAGCCUCUUACCUCACAACCACUUGAAAAAAAAAAAUCUGUUCACACCUCCGGCUGUUCGUCUCCUUUCUCGGUCCGGCGUAAAGAGUGUUGCAGCACCCCGCACCCCACCGUGACAGAAAUCACAAAUACCCACGUACAGCAGAAAUCAACCACGCCUUUGCGCAACUUCUGUACAGAAAAUUCUUGUGUUCAAGAGUGGCAUUUGGAAUGAUAAAGACUUUGGUCCAUCCUUGCAAAGCAUUGCAAUUCCCUGUGGGAAAGAUUCAAGGGCCUGUGGGAAAGAUUCAAGGGCCUAAGCAAUUAAGGUCCAAAGAACCUAAGAUGGAGCUCACUCUAGCACAACCUGAUGACUGGCAUCUUCACCUUCGCGAUGGUGAUCUUCUUGAAGCUGUUGUCUCUCACAGCGCAAGUCACUUUGGAAGGGCGAUAGUGAUGCCAAAUCUGAAUCCCCCCAUCACAACCACAGCUGCUGCUGUGGCUUAUCGAGAAUCAAUCUUGAAACUUCUGCCUGCCAAUAGCAACUUCACUCCGCUUAUGACACUUUAUUUGACAGAUACGACAAGUCCAAUAGAGAUCAAGCUUGCAAGAAGAAGUGGGGCUGUUUUUGCUGUGAAGUUGUACCCUGCUGGUGCUACAACAAAUUCUCAAGAUGGAGUUACGGAUCUUUUUGGGAGAUGCCUACCUGUCCUUGAGGAGAUGGUUGAACAGAAUAUGCCUUUGUUGGUUCAUGGGGAGGUUACAAAUCCUGAUGUUGACAUAUUUGAUCGUGAGAAGGUCUUCAUUGAAACUGUUUUAGAACCUUUAGUCCAGAGGCUUCCGCAACUGAAGGUAGUGAUGGAACACAUCACCACCAUGGAUGCUGUUAGGUUUGUUGAGUCCUCCAAAGAAGGAUCUGUAGCUGCAACUGUUACCCCACAGCAUCUUCUUCUCAAUAGAAAUGCCCUCUUUCAAGGGGGAUUGCAGCCGCAUAAUUACUGCCUUCCAGUACUCAAGAGGGAGAUCCACAGACAGGCUAUUGUUGCCGCUGUGACUAGUGGAAGUAAUAGAUUUUUCCUCGGAACUGAUAGUGCUCCUCAUGAGAGACGAAGAAAAGAGUGCCCUUGUGGAUGUGCUGGUAUAUUCAAUGCUCCAGUUGCCCUAUCACUAUAUGCAAAGGUCUUUGAAGAGGUAGGUGCGCUUGACAAGCUAGAGGCAUUUACAAGCUUCAAUGGACCAGACUUCUAUGGGCUUCCAAGAAGCACAUCAAAAAUAAAAAUGGUCAGGACUCCAUGGAAGGUACCGGAGUCUUUCUCCUUUUCAUUUGGAGAUAUCAUUCCAAUGUUUGCGGGCGAAACACUUGAAUGGCGGCCAUCCUCCAAUUGAUACAAAUUUGUACUACCAGACAAUGACUUUGCUCCUUCACUCUCAAGGAUCUUGUCUCUCUUCGGCUUCUGCAUCUCAGAUGGAUGAAGAAAAUCGUACAACAGUUUUCGCCAUAGUUGCAUCUAUCCUUGAUGUGCGAUGAGAAGGUUGCAAGAGCAUUUUUGGGAAAUAAUGUUAGAUUUAGAAAGAUUUGGUUGGACAAAUUCUUCAGCAACCACAGAGAUUAGAACUUGCGAAUGAUCCAUAUGUAGUAGAAUACUAACUUGAUUGUAAUAUUUGUGAUUAAGCUUGAAUGGUAAUAUUUAUGAUUGAACUUUUGUCGGUA
This is an RNA transcript of Corylus avellana, 1791 nucleotides long. It is a transcript of the gene named pyrimidin 4, with no coding region annotated. The record is from RefSeq and is a predicted model, not a curated record. NCBI's taxonomy places the organism in Eukaryota, Viridiplantae, Streptophyta, Magnoliopsida, Fagales, Betulaceae.